GCAAACUUGGUCAUUUAGAGGAAGUAAAAGUCGUAACAAGGUUUCCGUAGGUGAACCUGCGGAAGGAUCAUUAUUGAAUCCAAAGGGAUGCUGCUGGCUUUUUAUGAGCUGUGCACUCCUGCCUUUACAUCCACCUGUGCACUUGCUGUAGACUAGGAUUAAUUUCUGGGUCUAUGUUUUUCAUUUACGCUUUUAAAGUCAAUGAAUGUAUUUCAGGCUUUGGCCAAUAAAAAUAAUACAACUUUCAACAAUGGAUCUCUUGGUUCUCGCAUCGAUGAAGAACGCAGC
RNAcentral lists this unclassified non-coding RNA (288 nucleotides) under uncultured fungus. Its description in RNAcentral is "partial contains small subunit ribosomal RNA, internal transcribed spacer 1, and 5.8S ribosomal RNA". The stretch from base 1 to 73 matches the Rfam family "Eukaryotic small subunit ribosomal RNA", at positions 1759 to 1831 of the family's 1831-position model. The record is from RNAcentral. Lineage: Eukaryota; Fungi.